CGGUCGCGACCGACUCGGUGGCCACCGCCUAUCACGCGGUGCGGACGGCCGGUUCGGUGCGGCGCGGCCGG
RNAcentral lists this transfer RNA (71 nucleotides) under Streptomyces mauvecolor. RNAcentral describes it as "tRNA-Asp". RNAcentral also lists the same sequence under 1 other name. Lineage: Bacteria; Bacillati; Actinomycetota; Actinomycetes; Kitasatosporales; Streptomycetaceae. The record is from RNAcentral.